This 97-nucleotide transfer RNA is filed under the name Colletotrichum trifolii. It matches the Rfam family "tRNA". From Rfam's summary of the family: Transfer RNA (tRNA) molecules are approximately 80 nucleotides in length. Their secondary structure includes four short double-helical elements and three loops (D, anti-codon, and T loops). Further hydrogen bonds mediate the characteristic L-shaped molecular structure. tRNAs have two regions of fundamental functional importance: the anti-codon, which is responsible for specific mRNA codon recognition, and the 3' end, to which the tRNAs corresponding amino acid is attached (by aminoacyl-tRNA synthetases). tRNAs cope with the degeneracy of the genetic code in two manners: having more than one tRNA (with a specific anti-codon) for a particular amino acid; and 'wobble' base-pairing, i.e. permitting non-standard base-pairing at the 3rd anti-codon position. The record is from Rfam by way of RNAcentral. Lineage: Eukaryota; Fungi; Ascomycota; Sordariomycetes; Glomerellales; Glomerellaceae. RNAcentral also lists the same sequence under 1 other name.
ACCCGAUUAGCUCAAUUGGUCAGAGCGUUGGACUUUUACGAACACUGCUUCGCAAUUGGAUAUCCAAAGGCUACGAGUUCGACCCUCGUAUCGGGUG